RNAcentral lists this ribosomal RNA (400 nucleotides) under uncultured bacterium. RNAcentral's name for it is "bacterial SSU rRNA". It matches the Rfam family "Bacterial small subunit ribosomal RNA", at positions 355 to 752 of the family's 1533-position model. The record is from RNAcentral.
UAAGGAAUAUUGGACAAUGCCCGCAAGGGUGAUCCAGCCAUGCCGCGUGCAGGAAGACGGCCCUAUGGGUUGUAAACUGCUUUUGUACCGGAGAAAACCUCCCCUCGUGAGGGGAGCUGAUAGUAUGGUAAGAAUAAGCAUCGGCUAACUUCGUGCCAGCAGCCGCGGUAAGACGAAGGAUGCAAGCGUUAUCCGGAUUCAUUGGGUUUAAAGGGAGCGUAGGUGGGUUUGUAAGUCAGUGGUGAAAGCCGGCAGCUUAACUGUCGAAUUGCCAUUGAUACUGCAGACCUUGAGUACAGAUGCUGUGGGCGGAAUAUGACAUGUAGUGGUGAAAUACAUAGAGAUGUCAUAGAACACCGAUUGCGAAGGCAGCUCACAAAACUGUAACUGACACUGAGGC